GGAUCUCCUCCGACCCCGAAGGAGAGCGGGGUGGGGGGUAGGGGGUGCGAGCGAGCCGGGCGCAGAGCGGGCGGACCUCGGCGGCGGGGCUGCAGGUGGAGCCCGGGAGCGACCGAGCCGAGGCGCCUCCUUCCUGCACGGUUCCCGGCCCCGUGCGCGCCGCCCCCGGCGGAGGUCCCAGCGGGGGCGCCUCCGGCCGGAGCCCAGCCCUCGCCUGCCCCACCCCCACAGCGGCUCUCGUAGGGGGAAGGGAAAAAAAAAAAACAAACCCGGACAGCAUUGCUGCGUUGUGCCAAAUCAGAAAAAUAAAUAAAAAUAGACGUAGUGCAGGAGCCAGUUACAAGAAAGGAUUUGCCCAUCGAUUUUCUUAAAUGGAAAAGUUUUUUAAAGGGCGAGGGUAAGUGAAUGGCGCGCCCGCCCGUUCUGUAUGACUGUAUCCGAGGUGGAUCCCCGAGGCGGCGGACGCUGCGCGCGGCCGGCGCGGGCGAAGGCGCACCUGGACCGGGGGCGCGCGGCUCUCGGCGCACGGACGCGUGGCGCAGCGGGCAAGCGCGCGCGGGGACGACGCGACGGCGUGGCGGACCCAGCGAUCGGCCGUGCAACUUGUGCGCUCGCGAGGCCCUCCACCCUCGAGGCUGCUGUUUCGUCGGGUCAGCUAGGCCACUGCCCCCAGCGGCGUCGUGGUGCUCGGCCUGUAAACCUCCGAAACCGUGAGCGCAGCCUCUCGAUCUUUCUGGUAAAUGCCCGGGUCUGAGUGGGAGCGCUGAGAAGCCCACGGAGACUGCGCACCCCUGGCUCACAGCAGCUCCGAGUUGCGGGAACACCUGCUUUUCUCUGCUCACGCACUGGGCUUCCCAGACCUCCUGGGAGGAGCAUGCGGGCAGCCUGGGUUGGCUGCCUCAGUGAGGUCCCUGGCACCACUUGGACCCUGAACUCCUGUUAUCUCGGUCUCUUUCUGCCCUGGCAACUUGCUGCUACCCCAGGGCCUCAGGUUCAUGUGAGACUGCAGGGACCCUUCGGCUUCUCUGCUCCGUGUCCUCCGGGGCACAGGCAGUGCCCCUCCUCCAACAGGAGAGCAGUCCCUCCCCACGUCCCUGAUGGUUCCACCCCAUUGUCUCUGCCCUCACCUGCAUGAUGCUAUCAGGCAAACCACGCCCCCACCUGCACAAUGCCAUCAGGCAGACCACGCCCCACCCAAACGACGUCAUCAGGCAAACCACGCCCACCUGCACGAUGCCAUCAGGCAGACCACGCCCCCACCUGCAUGACGGCAUCAGCAGGUAAAGCACUCUGGGCUGUCGCACCUUAGACACAAGCCUUCCUUUCAGACUACCCCAUCUCUCCUGUGGUUCAAAGCCAAGGUCACCGCCAGCCACCAUUGCCCCUCCGUCCUCUUCCUCAUUUGUCCCAGCCCUUGACCCCCAAGGCUGUGGCUUCAGUGUUCAGUGACAUCGGUGAGGGAAAUCUACUGAUUUUCAUUUAAUUUGAAUUCCUGAAGCAGUGAGCACGGCCUCUCCCUCCUUGGUGGAAUGUUCUGUGCUCUUCUCCAACAGACUUCUUUUUGCAUUUUGUAAAAAGAUUCAUUUAUUUAUUUAAAAGGCUAAGUUACAGUGAGAUAGAGAGGAGAGAGAGAUCUUCCAUCAGCUGGUUCACUUCCCAAAUAGCCACACAGCCAGGGCUGGGCCAGGCCACAACCAGGGGCUUCCUCCAGGUCUCACAUGUGGAUGGCAGGGGCCCAAGCACUGGGUCAUCUUCCACUGCCUUCCCAGGCACAUUAGCAGGCAGCUGGAUGGGAAGUGGAGCAGCCGGGACUCGAACUGUUGCCCACAUGGGAUGCAGCCCAACCCACUACCCCAUAGUGCUGGCCCCUCUCUUGGCAUUAUUAAAACAUUUUAUUUUCUUUUUAUUUCUUUGAAAGGCAGAGUGGCAGAGAGACCUUCUACCCACUGGUUCACGCUCCAAAUGCCCACAACAGCUGGGGGUGGGCCAGGCUGAAGCCAGGAGCCCGGAACUCAGUUCGGGACUUCCAUGGGAUGGCAGGGACCCAAGUACUUGAGCCAUCACCUGUUCUCAGCGUGUGCAUCAGCAGGAAGCCGGAUGGGAAGCGGAGGCAGGACUUGAACCCAGGCACUCCAGGGUGGGAAGCCGGUGUCCCAGGUGGCGUGGUGCCCACUGCACCACCGCACCUGCCCCUCUUCCCUUGUUUAACUUUAUUUUUCUUUUGAGACAAAUCUGAAGAUACAGAAUUGGUGAAGGAUAUUGUAACAGACGUCCCAGUUUUUCCCAUUCAGGAUGAACUUUCUGUCGUAUUUGUUUCCGGUCUUUGUUUUAAGAAAUAAAAUGUGGUAGGUGAGGCUUCA
Molecule: long non-coding RNA, 2360 nt
Organism: Oryctolagus cuniculus (rabbit)
Lineage: Eukaryota; Metazoa; Chordata; Mammalia; Lagomorpha; Leporidae
Source: Ensembl